Sapajus apella (tufted capuchin) is the source of this 1460-nucleotide long non-coding RNA. RefSeq lists it as uncharacterized. Lineage: Eukaryota; Metazoa; Chordata; Mammalia; Primates; Cebidae. The transcript has 2 exons. The record is from RefSeq and is a predicted model, not a curated record.
UUGCUUGUUGAUGUUUUUUGUUUUUUAAUAGUAACGGGGUCUCACUUUGUUGCCCAGGCUGGUUUCGGAUUCCUGGCCUUAAGCCAUCCUCCCACCUCUACCUCCCAAAGUGCUGACAUUACAUGCAUCAGCCUCUGCUCAGCCUACCUACUCUUAUCAUUUUCUGUCUUUCACUAGACAAUUAAGUUGUUGUGGGACUUGCUUAAACCUGUAGGUAAAUUUUGGGAGAAUCCACAUGCUUACUACAUUGAGUGUUGCAAAUCCUGGAAUGGGCUUCAUAUCUCUUUUUAUUUGAUUUCUUGUCUGAUUGCUUUCAUCAGCAUUUUAGUUUUUACUACACAGAUCAUUUAAUGUGUACACCUAAGUAUUUAAUUUUUGUUAAAACAAUUGUAAAUGGUGUUUUGAGGUUUUUGUUUCCACAUAUUCUUUACAUAUAGAAUAUGUGAUUGAUUACACAUAUAUACACACACACACACACACACACACACACACACACACACACAAUAUAUAUAUAGAAAUGUGACUGACUUUUAUGAGUUGAUUUUAUAGUCUAUGCUGAAUUCACUUAUUCUAGGGGGAUUUUUUUUUUCUUUCCAAUCUGUAUGCCUUUUAUUUCUUAUCUUGCCUUUUUGCAGUGGCUAGAAUUUCCAGUGUUACGUUGUAUUAAAGAGUGAGUGUGGACAUCUUUCUUGUUCCCAGUCUUGGGAAGAAAGGAUUCAAACUUUUACCAUUAAGUAUGAUGUUAGCUAUAGGUUUUUUUUAUACAUGUUCAUUAUCAAGUACAGGUAAUCCUCAUCUCUUUGUAACUUGCUGAGAGUUUAUGAUAAAUGGGUGUUGGAUUUUGUAAAUGCUUAUUCUUGAUCAAUUAACAUGAUCAUAUUUCUCUUUAUCCUGAUGAUAUAUUUGAUCACAUUAUUUUUUGAGUGUUGAACUAGCCUUAUAUACCUGGAAUAAAUCCUACUUGGUCAUGACGUUUUGCCAAAUAAUUAUAUCUUAAGCUUACAUAAUACCAAUAUCAAACAAGAAGUACUUAAUUGUUCUGCAAAUUAACUUUCUUCACUAAGAAUAUUUGGUUUUAGUCUAAUAUUUCUAGAAAAUUACAGCAAAUAUCUUUCAAACAGAAGAUAGUUUUGAUUUUGUAGAAAGGUCAUUUAUAAUCCUAAUAAUAGAAUAAUGAUGAUAGUAGCUACCAUUUAUUGAAUUGUUUAAUUAAAUACUACAAUUAAACUUUUUUUCUUGCCAAUCUAGUGGGUGUCAGAGGUUAUGCUUGAUGGUAACGUGUCUGUGACUAUUAAUAUUUAUUGCUGCUGCCAAGGUAAAUACAUGUGCUUUGGAGAACAAUUUAGCAAAUUAGGUAACUGGAGAAACAUACUUAUACUAAUUAAAGAAACUCUAGUUACCUAAUGCACAGGAAGACAUGUCCGAGGUUGUUUAUUGCAGCCUUGUUUAUGACUGGGGAC